AUAGCAUUUCCCAUGGGCAUAAAGUUCAAGCUGCUUUACCAGUUCCUUUCAGGAUCGAACUGCAGCCACAAGACGACCAUCCAAAGAAUGUAAAAAGGGAGUGUUCGGGGAAAGCGCGCAAGGAAGGCAGAAGCAACCGAAUAAACAAAAACAACACCCGCAAGAGUUAGGCACAGCAAAGAGGGAGCCAGGUCCUCUGGACCAGACCAAGCAGUUCUGAUUUCACACCGACCUCCAUCAAGAGCACUGGGAGGAGGAUCGAACAGGUCCGUCCCUCCCUCCGCCCUGGGAGCAGGCCGGGGGUGGCAAGGUCUCUGGUGUACGAGGAUUUGUGAAGGCCUGCAGUUGGCAGAAUGAAUCUGUGGAGAUGGUUUAAAAGAACGGUUUCACUGACAUGAACAUCUAGAGAGUCACAUGUCUAUGGGGAAUUGGAAUGCUGAGGAAUGGAAACAAAUGAAAAUAUAUUACACAGGUGGAACUUCAGCUGUGACCUGAAAUGUAUCACCUAAGAACUCUAUGAAGAUGAAGAAGGACCAUCUUCUCUGGGACUUGGGCUCUCACGCGUAUUAGACCCAGCCACUGAUAGGAGCUGCCGAUUUCAUGUGAAGUGAUCAGUUGCUUCUUGUGCUCUGAAGGCGCUGAUUUCCAACGACUGCAAUGUUACAUCCAUGAGUUCUUCCAGCUUUGAAACUGAGCGCUCCAAGCCAAGAAGAUCCCUUUUCUUCUGCUGCUAUGCCGGGGAAACAUUGAGAUUACUUCAGCCAAAAUAACAUUUCUGCCAGUUGACAUCCUAUCUCAGAGAGGCAGCUAAUCGUGCUAACAAAGAAAACGAUGUUUGGUCAUAAAGGAAUGUGAUGAAACUUUCGCUUUAUCUUUUUCUAUCUCAAUACCACAAUAUGGAGACGAGUUGUUUUCUUAAAGUGUUUGUCACCUGCUUUGUGAUUGUCGUUUUACUUGGCUGCCUUCUCUGCGAGACGAUAGGCUUCAUGAGGACAGUUUUCCUCCUCAUUGUAUCCUCAAUACAGUAACAUUUUUUUUGAAGAAAUGAAUAAAGACAGUCAACGCAGAAAAAGUCUUCCAGUCUAUGUUAUAGGAAUAGUGAAAUCUUUUUAGGUUAGUAAAAUGUGGGUUGAAUUGCUCAGGAAUUUUUAAUAACCAGUGUUUGUCAGCUGAAUGUAUAUUAUGGGCAAAUGUAAUACUGAAUGCAGUUAUAAGUUCUGGAAUAGGGACAAGUGUUCAGGCCACGGUGGCUAAGUGCUGUUUUUGUCCUCCAGCUUUUAUUUUUACUUCGGGUAACUCUUAGCCAGUGUUAGUCUAGGAAAUUGCCCCCUCCUUCACCCUCAGUCCCAUCUUAUUCUCCUCCCCCAGGUACACUGGGUCCUACACUGGUAGGUGAUCCUCUGUGUACCAGAGAACCGUCUUCCCGGGGCCACUGGGCUUUGUUCAGCCACAGUUCCAGCUGGUCCUGUCAGAGGAGCGUGUCCUUUCUUUGCUUUGGGGAGAAGUGAGCUGGAGCUGUGUGUGGAGUCUCUACACUGAAGCCAACAGAGGAGAAAGUGGGGAGUGGGGAGAUAGAGGGAAAGAGGGCGGGAGAUAGAGGGUCCUGAUGACAUACAUCAUUAGAGGCAAUAAAUCACCCACAACUUAACUUUUUUCUGUCAUUUGCCACAAAAAUAACUCUAACUGGUCCAGAGAAUGUGUUGUGUUACUUUGUUUUUAUCUUUGUAAAAGAAAGAAAUCAUUUCGAUGGCUCCUAGAGGAAGUGCGGUUUGGUACAUCUUGGUCUUGUUAGGAAAUUCAUUAUUUUAAUGGACCGAAAUCUCUGCCUUAGAUAUAAUGUUGGAGUUUUGGGAGCUACAGGUAACUCAGGAUGCGUGUGUGCUCUCUUCUACCUGACAGCUCCAUAUGAA
RNA transcript from Delphinapterus leucas (beluga whale), 1910 nucleotides. RefSeq lists it as uncharacterized. Lineage: Eukaryota; Metazoa; Chordata; Mammalia; Artiodactyla; Monodontidae. The record is from RefSeq and is a predicted model, not a curated record.